Non-coding RNA from Triticum aestivum (bread wheat), 115 nucleotides. The record is from Rfam. Lineage: Eukaryota; Viridiplantae; Streptophyta; Magnoliopsida; Poales; Poaceae.
CUUGUACUCCCUCCGUCCAAAAAUACUUGUCAUUGAAAUGGAUGUAUCUAGAUGUAUUUUAGUUCUAGACACAUCCAUUUUGAUGACAAGUAAUUCUGGACGGAGGGAGUACUUG